Long non-coding RNA from Centropristis striata (black sea bass), 724 nucleotides. RefSeq lists it as uncharacterized. The record is from RefSeq and is a predicted model, not a curated record. NCBI's taxonomy places the organism in Eukaryota, Metazoa, Chordata, Actinopteri, Perciformes, Serranidae. The transcript has 3 exons.
UUUGAAAGCGGCGAGAAAUAUCAUAGAGUUUAGUCUCGUGAGAUCUCGUGGUACGAGGGGUAUGUCACACCCCUAUACAUAUGUUAGGCUGGUGUGUGUAAUUUUCUCUGUUCUCUUGUUUGGUGUGGUAUUGAAGCACUCCUUCUCUCUGUGGUUUCUGGUGUACCCACUGCAUUGCUCCUACUGACAUUUGCCCUGGUCAUGGUUUAUAAAUACAAAUGUCACAAAGUGCGAGGAGCUGGAGCCAACAUGAACAGAAAUGAAACAAGGGCAGCAGAAACAGAGACUGAUGCAGCAGAUAUUUAUGAAAAUGAUGCAGUGCAGGGGUCCUUCAAACCACAGAGCGCCUAUCGACUUGACGAUGAUACAGGUGAAGAAGAAGAAGACUAUGUGAACCUGUAGGAGAUGAACAGCAUGCACAUCUGUGAUAACAUUUCAUUUCAGGGUCACAUCUGUACCUAAAUUAUCCCAAUAAUAUUGUCUCUAUUAACAACACAUAUGCACACACCACUGCAGACCAAACUUUUUAUUGUCUGACUGAAAACUACAGUAAUAUAAUUAUUUGUACGUAUUUGUUCUGUAUUUACAAUCAAAUAUCUUUGUUUUAACUUUUAUUUUACACUUUCGCUUUUACUUUUACAUCCAUUAUAACGGUUUAACAUUCCUGUACUCCUUAUGAAAAAGUUUGCAGAAUGUAAGUUACCAUCAUGUAUAUAUGCAUAUU